AUUUGUAUUUUCUGUCAACUCAUGCAUACGUGCGGCCUUCAGGUUCGAAUCAAACUGUUUUCAUGUCAAUCUGAUAACUUACCGUGAUACGCAAAGAUAACACAGCAAGAAUUCGUCAGUUGUGUGUAUUUACUCAGUGCAGAAACAAUACAACCUAAAAAUAUGUGAAACCACGUGGAAACACAACAUUUCCUUGCUAUUCUAUCAAAAUAUUCGCCAAAACGCAAAAAUAAUACAAGAAGACGAGAAAAGAGAAAUAAAUAUGUUACAAUAUGGUUGGAUCUAUGUACAAAAUCAAAAAUAAAAUACAAAAACGGAAUGUACAAAGUCAAUGUGUGUGUGUGUCAGUGUGUGUCGCUUAAAUAAUAAACUCAUAAUUUAAAUAAUAAACGAUCACUGGCCGUGUGGUUGCGCGCGUUUCUGGUUAAUCUGCGCUGCUACAAGUUUUCACUCACGAUGUGAACACGCGUGAGAAUUUGAAAGUUCCAGACGCUGCUCACCGCUGGACGUUAUUGAGUCACGAUUUAAUUUUCAUUCAAUGGACGCAUAAAAAUCAUCUCUACCGUGUACCGAAGAUAACAAUGGUAGCGCCAUCGUCGAGGGUUAUUAAAUCACUGGGGGUACACAUUGGAAUUAUUUAAAUACAGCCGUUCUAUGACCGCAUGUGUGAUGGUAUAAGCACAUCGCCGAAGAUGUACAAGGUUUCUGCAGUAAAAUAAGGGAAAAAAACGUCGGUACAUCAUUUGGAAGGUAAAAGAAAUGUUUUCUCUGGCCUCGCAAAGAACAAGAUAAGAUGAAGAAUCGCAGCCUGAAGUCGAAACACCGUCGUGGCAGUCAGUGGCAGCCGCAGCGUGGCCGAAGAAGAAUGGAUUCUGUUGGCGGAUUUCGUUGGAUUUCCCGAAAAACUUUCUGCCUCCGGUGUACGUGUACCUGUACGUGAUCUUCGCGGCAAUGUUGCAGCUAGCUGGAGCAGCUUUGCGGCUAGUUUCGAGCAGCGACAUUCCUUUCGAAACGUCGGGUCGGCGCGGCCCCGGCCUGGCCCGUGGGAACCGAAGCCUUCUUCGCCUUCUGCGCGCUGCCUCCUCUCUGCCUCCUGCUCGCGCGACUUGUUGCGCUACCUAUUCUCACUCCCGUGCGUCCGCACCGCUCUCGCUCUUCUUUUCGCCGCGAAUAAAAUUUACAAGCAAAAAAAAAACAACGCGCAACACAUACACAUACGGAGAAAACCGCAUCGAACGCACUUUCAAAUUGUGUACGGACAAGUAACGAGAAGCAAGCGUAAUAUAUUGUGAAAUUUU
Long non-coding RNA from Dalotia coriaria, 1298 nucleotides. RefSeq lists it as uncharacterized. The transcript has 6 exons. Lineage: Eukaryota; Metazoa; Arthropoda; Insecta; Coleoptera; Staphylinidae. The record is from RefSeq and is a predicted model, not a curated record.